GAUGAACGCUGGCGGCGCGCCUAACACAUGCAAGUCGAACGGUUAAGGCGCCUUCGGGCGCAUAUAAAGUGGCGAACGGCUGAGUAACACGUGGGCAACCUGCCCCUCGCACCGGGACAGCCUCGGGAAACCGUGGAUGAUACCGGAUACUCCGCCUCCCCCGCAUGGGGAGGGCGGGAAAGCCCAGACGGCGAGGGAUGGGCCCGCGGCCUGUUAGCUAGUUGGCGGGGCAGCGGCCCACCAAGGCGAUGAUGGGUAGCCGGGUUGAGAGACCGACCGGCCAGAUUGGGACUGAGACACGGCCCAGACUCCUACGGGAGGCAGCAGUGGGGAAUCUUGCACAAUGGGCGGAAGCCUGAUGCAGCGACGCCGCGUGCGGGACGAAGGCCUUCGGGCUGUAAACCGCUUUCAGCAGGGACGAGGCGAAAGUGACGGUACCUGCAGAAGAAGCCCCGGCUAACUACGUG
Molecule: ribosomal RNA, 467 nt
Filed under: uncultured bacterium
Lineage: Bacteria
Description: bacterial SSU rRNA
Rfam family: Bacterial small subunit ribosomal RNA
Source: RNAcentral